CAGCACCUCAAGUGGUCAGGAUGAUUAUUGGGCCUAAAGCAUCCGUAGCCUGCUUUGUUAGUUUUCGGUUAAAUCCAUACGCUCAACGUAUGGGCUGCCGGGAAUACUGCAGAGCUAGGGAGUGGGAGAGGCAGACGGUACUCGGUAGGAAGGGGUAAAAUCCUUUGAUCUAUUGAUGACCACCUGUGGCGAAGGCGGUCUACCAGAACACGUCCGACGGUGAGGGAUGAAAGCUGGGGGAGCAAACCGGAUUAGAUACCCGAGUAGUCC
RNAcentral lists this ribosomal RNA (270 nucleotides) under uncultured archaeon. RNAcentral's name for it is "partial 16S ribosomal RNA". It matches the Rfam family "Archaeal small subunit ribosomal RNA", at positions 477 to 747 of the family's 1478-position model. The record is from RNAcentral.